CUUGAAACCAAAAACUACAAUGCAAAAGUUCUGUCACCUUCUGCUCUGCUCUGUUUUGAUCCCUUAUGCCAGUUUGGCACCCACCACUCCGAAAUCAAGAGAACCCGACCUGGAGACUAUCAUUGCUCAAACUCUGAAAUUAUCACAUAAUAUCGCUACAGACCCAGGAAAGGAUGGAGAGGUGAAGAUUGUUUCAGAGGAAUUCAACAGGAAGGAGCCUAAAUGCAUACAGACACAUAUAAAGACUUUUUCUGAUGGUUUACAUGAAAGGGACCAAGCAAUCAAGAAAAACCUGGAGAGGAUUGCUGCACGCUUCAAUGCUUCUUCAUGUCCCUCACUCGAU
This is a long non-coding RNA of Vombatus ursinus (common wombat), 343 nucleotides long. NCBI's taxonomy places the organism in Eukaryota, Metazoa, Chordata, Mammalia, Diprotodontia, Vombatidae. The record is from Ensembl.